RNAcentral lists this microRNA precursor (146 nucleotides) under Marmota monax (woodchuck). Lineage: Eukaryota; Metazoa; Chordata; Mammalia; Rodentia; Sciuridae. The record is from RNAcentral.
GCAAUUUAGUUUCUCUCUCUCUCUCUCUCUCUCUCUCUCUCUCUCUCUCUCUCUCUCUCUCUCUUUCACACACACACACACACACACACACACACAGAGAGAGAGAGAGAGAGAGAGAGAGAGAGAGAGAGAGAGAGACUAGUUUU